AUUGAACGCUGGCGGCAUGCCUUACACAUGCAAGUCGAACGGCAGCACGGGAGCAAUCCUGGUGGCGAGUGGCGAACGGGUGAGUAAUAUAUCGGAACGUGCCCAGUCGUGGGGGAUAACGUAGCGAAAGCUACGCUAAUACCGCAUACGAUCUAUGGAUGAAAGCGGGGGAUCGCAAGACCUCGCGCGAUUGGAGCGGCCGAUAUCAGAUUAGGUAGUUGGUGAGGUAAAGGCUCACCAAGCCGACGAUCUGUAGCUGGUCUGAGAGGACGACCAGCCACACUGGGACUGAGACACGGCCCAGACUCCCUACGGGAGGCAGCAGUGGGGAA
RNAcentral lists this ribosomal RNA (332 nucleotides) under uncultured bacterium. RNAcentral's name for it is "bacterial SSU rRNA". It matches the Rfam family "Bacterial small subunit ribosomal RNA", at positions 30 to 361 of the family's 1533-position model. The record is from RNAcentral.